This 1502-nucleotide ribosomal RNA is filed under the name Clostridium botulinum A str. ATCC 19397. RNAcentral's name for it is "bacterial SSU rRNA". It matches the Rfam family "Bacterial small subunit ribosomal RNA". The record is from RNAcentral. Lineage: Bacteria; Bacillati; Bacillota; Clostridia; Eubacteriales; Clostridiaceae. RNAcentral also lists the same sequence under 1 other name.
AGAGUUUGAUCCUGGCUCAGGACGAACGCUGGCGGCGUGCUUAACACAUGCAAGUCGAGCGAUGAAGCUUCCUUCGGGGAGUGGAUUAGCGGCGGACGGGUGAGUAACACGUGGGUAACCUGCCUCAAAGUGGGGGAUAGCCUUCCGAAAGGAAGAUUAAUACCGCAUAAUAUAAGAGAAUCGCAUGAUUUUCUUAUCAAAGAUUUAUUGUUUUGAGAUGGACCCGCGGCGCAUUAGCUAGUUGGUAAGGUAACGGCUUACCAAGGCAACGAUGCGUAGCCGACCUGAGAGGGUGAUCGGCCACAUUGGAACUGAGACACGGUCCAGACUCCUACGGGAGGCAGCAGUGGGGAAUAUUGCGCAAUGGGGGAAACCCUGACGCAGCAACGCCGCGUGGGUGAUGAAGGUCUUCGGAUUGUAAAGCCCUGUUUUCUAGGACGAUAAUGACGGUACUAGAGGAGGAAGCCACGGCUAACUACGUGCCAGCAGCCGCGGUAAUACGUAGGUGGCGAGCGUUGUCCGGAUUUACUGGGCGUAAAGGGUGCGUAGGCGGAUGUUUAAGUGGGAUGUGAAAUCCCCGGGCUUAACCUGGGGGCUGCAUUCCAAACUGGAUAUCUAGAGUGCAGGAGAGGAAAGCGGAAUUCCUAGUGUAGCGGUGAAAUGCGUAGAGAUUAGGAAGAACACCAGUGGCGAAGGCGGCUUUCUGGACUGUAACUGACGCUGAGGCACGAAAGCGUGGGUAGCAAACAGGAUUAGAUACCCUGGUAGUCCACGCCGUAAACGAUGGAUACUAGGUGUAGGGGGUAUCAACUCCCCCUGUGCCGCAGUUAACACAAUAAGUAUCCCGCCUGGGGAGUACGGUCGCAAGAUUAAAACUCAAAGGAAUUGACGGGGGCCCGCACAAGCAGCGGAGCAUGUGGUUUAAUUCGAAGCAACGCGAAGAACCUUACCUGGACUUGACAUCCCUUGCAUAGCCUAGAGAUAGGUGAAGCCCUUCGGGGCAAGGAGACAGGUGGUGCAUGGUUGUCGUCAGCUCGUGUCGUGAGAUGUUAGGUUAAGUCCUGCAACGAGCGCAACCCUUGUUAUUAGUUGCUACCAUUAAGUUGAGCACUCUAAUGAGACUGCCUGGGUAACCAGGAGGAAGGUGGGGAUGACGUCAAAUCAUCAUGCCCCUUAUGUCCAGGGCUACACACGUGCUACAAUGGUAGGUACAAUAAGACGCAAGACCGUGAGGUGGAGCAAAACUUAUAAAACCUAUCUCAGUUCGGAUUGUAGGCUGCAACUCGCCUACAUGAAGCUGGAGUUGCUAGUAAUCGCGAAUCAGAAUGUCGCGGUGAAUACGUUCCCGGGCCUUGUACACACCGCCCGUCACACCAUGAGAGCUGGUAACACCCGAAGUCCGUGAGGUAACCGUAAGGAGCCAGCGGCCGAAGGUGGGAUUAGUGAUUGGGGUGAAGUCGUAACAAGGUAGCCGUAGGAGAACCUGCGGCUGGAUCACCUCC